CCAUCUCUUGUUGAAGUAGAAACUUUUUUUUCCUUAUCGUAUAAGCUUGAAGUACUAUCCCUUAAACCAUAAUGACGCCCAUCAAUUCCACUUGCCUCAGUAACAACACCCCAAGUGAAAUCAGUAUCUCUAAAAAAAAUUGAUUUAUCUUUAGCAUUCUCAAUUUUAGUUAGCCAUUUAUUGGCAUCAUCAAUAUUGCCCAAGCU
Molecule: long non-coding RNA, 206 nt
Filed under: Capsicum annuum
Lineage: Eukaryota; Viridiplantae; Streptophyta; Magnoliopsida; Solanales; Solanaceae
Description: long non-coding RNA (CANN_LNC010942)
Source: RNAcentral